RNAcentral lists this transfer RNA (71 nucleotides) under candidate division WOR-1 bacterium DG_54_3. RNAcentral describes it as "tRNA-Cys". It matches the Rfam family "tRNA". Rfam says of the family: Transfer RNA (tRNA) molecules are approximately 80 nucleotides in length. Their secondary structure includes four short double-helical elements and three loops (D, anti-codon, and T loops). Lineage: Bacteria; Bacillati. The record is from RNAcentral.
GGUGGCAUGGCCGAGUGGUUAGGCAGCGGUCUGCAAAACCGCGUACCCCAGUUCGAACCUGGGUGCCACCU